Glycine soja is the source of this 411-nucleotide long non-coding RNA. RefSeq lists it as uncharacterized. The record is from RefSeq and is a predicted model, not a curated record. NCBI's taxonomy places the organism in Eukaryota, Viridiplantae, Streptophyta, Magnoliopsida, Fabales, Fabaceae. The transcript is spliced from 2 exons.
AGUGAGAAAACACAAGUUUAUAUUCAUAGAAGAAAGCAAACGAACACAAGUUCAUCUUCACAAAAAAUGACUACUAGAAGAGUCGUGGAUCUUAGCUUUGUCUUUGGAAUUGUGUGUAUUGUUUUCCUUUUAACUCCAGGAUCCGCGAAAAUAGUUUGCUCGAAGAGCGGAAAUUGUCCCGAUAAUAAAGUUUGUUACAAUUUAUGUGUAUUUUUUGGUUUUAAAGAUUAUGGCGGUAAAUGCGUUGUUGAAUCUGGGCAAAAUCUAUGUUGCUGCGUAGAUUUAAAGGAUGGUGGCUUUGGCCAUGCUACUCCUUAGAUAUUUUCGAUAUCAGUGUUUUGCCACCAAAUGGGUCCUUAGUGAUAAGAGCCGCAAAAAUAAAAUAAACGAAUGAUAAGAUUAUUUUUGUAA